This 309-nucleotide ribosomal RNA is filed under the name uncultured Methanomicrobiales archaeon. RNAcentral's name for it is "bacterial SSU rRNA". It matches the Rfam family "Archaeal small subunit ribosomal RNA", at positions 1028 to 1338 of the family's 1478-position model. Lineage: Archaea; Methanobacteriati; Methanobacteriota; Methanomicrobia; Methanomicrobiales. The record is from RNAcentral.
GUUAAGUCAGGCAACGAGCGAGACCCACGCCAACAGUUGCCAGCUCGUCCUCCGGGAUGGUGGGGACACUGUUGGGACCGCCUCUGCUAAAGAGAGGAAGGAAUGGGCACGGUAGGUCAGCAUGCCCCGAAUUAUCUGGGCUACACGCGGGCUACAAUGGGUGGGACAAUGGGUAUCGACACCGAAAGGUGAAGGCAAUCUCCUAAACCCAUCCGUAGUUCGGAUUGUGGGCUGCAACUCGCCCACAUGAAGCUGGAAUCUGUAGUAAUCGUGUCUCAAAAUGGCACGGUGAAUAUGUCCCUGCUCCUU